CAGCACGGGAGUAGCAAUACGACUGGGUGGCGACCGGCGCACGGGUGAGUAACGCGUAUGCAACCUACCUAUCAGAGGGGAAUAACCCGGCGAAAGUCGGACUAAUUCCGCAUAAAACAGGGACACCGCAUGGUGAUAUUUGUUAAAGAAAUUCGCUGAUAGAUGGGCAUGCGUUCCAUUAGGUAGUUGGUGAGGUAACGGCUCACCAAGCCGACGAUGGAUAGGGGAACUGAGAGGUUGGUCCCCCACACUGGUACUGAGACACGGACCAGACUCCUACGGGAGGCAGCAGUGAGGAAUAUUGGUCAAUGGGCGAGAGCCUGAACCAGCCAAGUCGCGUGAAGGAAGAAGGAUCUAUGGUUCGUAAACUUCUUUUGCAGGGGAAUAAAGUGCGGGACGUGUCCUGUUUUGUAUGUACCCUGAGAAUAAGGAUCGGCUAACUCCGUGCCAGCAGCCGCGGUAAUACGGAGGAUCCGAGCGUUAUCCGGAUUUAUUGGGUUUAAAGGGUGCGUAGGUGGUUUUAUAAGUCAGCGGUGAAAGUUUGCAGCUUAACUGUAAAAAUGCCGUUGAAACUGUAAGACUUGAGUGUAAAUGAGGUAGGCGGAAUGCGUGGUGUAGCGGUGAAAUGCAUAGAUAUCACGAAGAACUCCGAUUG
RNAcentral lists this ribosomal RNA (655 nucleotides) under uncultured Porphyromonadaceae bacterium. RNAcentral's name for it is "bacterial SSU rRNA". It matches the Rfam family "Bacterial small subunit ribosomal RNA", at positions 59 to 715 of the family's 1533-position model. Lineage: Bacteria; Pseudomonadati; Bacteroidota; Bacteroidia; Bacteroidales; Porphyromonadaceae. The record is from RNAcentral.